UCCUACGGGAGGCAGCAGUGGGGAAUUUUGGACAAUGGGCGCAAGCCUGAUCCAGCAAUGCCGCGUGAGUGAAGAAGGCCUUCGGGUUGUAAAGCUCUUUUGUCAGGGAAGAAAAGGCGCCGGCUAAUAUCCGGUGCUAAUGACGGUACCUGAAGAAUAAGCACCGGCUAACUACGUGCCAGCAGCCGCGGUAAUACGUAGGGUGCAAGCGUUAAUCGGAAUUACUGGGCGUAAAGCGUGCGCAGGCGGUUUUGUAAGUCUGACGUGAAAUCCCCGGGCUUAACCUGGGAAUUGCGAUGGAGACUGCAGGGCUAGAAUCUGGCAGAGGGGGGUAGAAUUCCACGUGUAGCAGUGAAAUGCGUAGAGAUGUGGAGGAACACCGAUGGCGAAGGCAGCCCCCUGGGUCAAGAUUGACGCUCAUGCACGAAAGCGUGGGGAGCAAACAGGAUUAGAUACCCUGGUAGUCCACGCCCUAAACGAUGUCUACUAGUUGUCGGGUCUUAAUUGACUUGGUAACGCAGCUAACGCGUGAAGUAGACCGCCUGGGGAGUACGGUCGCAAGAUUAAAACUCAAAGGAAUUGACGGA
This 587-nucleotide ribosomal RNA is filed under the name uncultured bacterium. RNAcentral describes it as "bacterial SSU rRNA". It matches the Rfam family "Bacterial small subunit ribosomal RNA", at positions 337 to 917 of the family's 1533-position model. The record is from RNAcentral.